This 720-nucleotide ribosomal RNA is filed under the name Gordonia sp. DBQ_23Q. RNAcentral describes it as "bacterial SSU rRNA". It matches the Rfam family "Bacterial small subunit ribosomal RNA", at positions 721 to 1439 of the family's 1533-position model. Lineage: Bacteria; Bacillati; Actinomycetota; Actinomycetes; Mycobacteriales; Gordoniaceae. The record is from RNAcentral.
GCGGGUCUGUGGGUAGUAACUGACGGUGAGGAGAGAAAGCGUGGGUAGCGAACAGGAUUAGAUACCGUGGUAGUACACGCUGUAAACGGUGGGUAAUAGGUGUGGGGCUCAUUUCAAGAGUUCCGUGCUGUAGCUAACGCAUUAAGUACCCCGCGUGGGGAGUACGGCCGCAAGGCUAAAACUCAAAGGAAUUGACGGGGGCCCGCACAAGCGGCGGAGCAUGUGGAUUAAUUAGAUGCAACGAGAAGAACCUUACCUGGGUUUGACAUACCCCAGACGCCAGCAGAGAUGUUGGUUCCCUUGUGGUUGGUGUACAGGUGGUGCAUGGCUGUUGUCAGCUCGUGUCGUGAGAUGUUGGGUUAAGUCCCGCAAAGAGCGCAACCCUUGUCCUGUAUUGCCAGCGGGUUAUGCCGGGGACUCGCAGGAGACUGCCGGGGUCAACUGGGAGGAAGGUGGGGAUGACGUCAAGUCAUCAUGCCCUUUAUGUCCAGGGUUUCACACAUGCUACAAUGGCCGGUACAGAGGGGUGAGAUACCGUGAGGUGGAGAGAAUCCCUUAAAGCCGGUCUCAGUUCGGAUCGGGGUGUGCAACUCGACCCCGAGAAGUGGGAGUCGAUAGUAAUCGCAGAUCAGCAACGGUGCGGUGAAUACGUUCCCGGGCCUUGUACACACCGCCCGUCAUGUCAUGAAAGUCGGUAACACCAGAAGCCGGUGGCAUAAC